RNAcentral lists this ribosomal RNA (309 nucleotides) under Triticum aestivum (bread wheat). RNAcentral describes it as "partial small subunit ribosomal RNA". The record is from RNAcentral. Lineage: Eukaryota; Viridiplantae; Streptophyta; Magnoliopsida; Poales; Poaceae.
AUGCUCAUGCUGGAACGCCGGUACCAGAUCGAGAAGGAGAUCCAGGCGAGGCGCGCCGCCUGCGUCGUUGCCGGGCUGCCUUCGGACUCGCCGGAGCUGGAGAAGGAGGAGGAGAAGGCGGAGGAGGAGGAGGAAGAAGAGGAGCAACAGCCGGCUCCGAUGGAGAUGGCGGAGCCGAAGGACGAGGAGGAGGCGGAGCAAGAGCUGGCACUGGCUUCGGGCUUCAACAUGGAGGACGCGGAGGCAGAGUUUGCCGUCACCCAAGCGGACGAGAUGGCGGAGCAGCUGGCCAUCCCGGAGUCCAUCUAG